RNAcentral lists this ribosomal RNA (252 nucleotides) under uncultured bacterium. Its description in RNAcentral is "partial 16S ribosomal RNA". It matches the Rfam family "Bacterial small subunit ribosomal RNA", at positions 524 to 776 of the family's 1533-position model. The record is from RNAcentral.
UACGGAGGAUGCGAACGUUAUCCGGAUUUAUUGGGUUUAAAGGGUGCGUAGGCGGAUCGUUAAGUCAGUGGUCAAAUUGAGGGGCUCAACCCCUUCCCGCCAUUGAAACUGGCGAUCUUGAGUGGAAGAGAAGUAUGCGGAAUGCGUGGUGUAGCGGUGAAAUGCAUAGAUAUCACGCAGAACCCCGAUUGCGAAGGCAGCAUGCCGGCUUCCGACUGACGCUGAAGCACGAGAGCGUGGGGAUCGAACAGG